UCGUCCUCGUCGGUCGUCGCCGACUCUCCCGAGCGCCGCUCUUCGCUAUCGACAGGUCGCCGUAAUGUCGAACGACCGAGGGGAAUCAGCUGGGCGGGACAGGUUCCCCUCCGGCCCAAGAUCUCCCCUCCGCUACAUCCACGAUCUCAUUGCGAGCAGCAGCUGGCCGACGCGCGCGGCGCCAUGGCCAUGGCUACUGAAGGUUUUGUCUUCUAGAAUCGGUACUGAUCCACGCACGCUCAUCACAACGUCGCUGAAGAUUAGAAACAUAAAACGCGCGACAAGCAAACUGGGGUAUUUCUAUAUGCAGAAGAGCUGCAAUCGUGCUGUUAGCUAGAAUGUACAUUUCAGAUCAACAAAUGGAGUUCUGAAGUUCUCUGCUGUCACUCUCUGUUCAAGAGUUGUUGACCGUGUGGUAACGGAUCAUGACUCUAGUGAUAACUUCAUUAUCCAAUUUAGUCAUUAUAUAUUUUUAGCUCAAAAUUGUAUAUAAUUAGAGUCCGGUCCUUUUAGGAUCAGAUCUUUAAAUUAUUGAAGUUAAAUUUUACAGCCC
Long non-coding RNA from Panicum virgatum (switchgrass), 553 nucleotides. RefSeq lists it as uncharacterized. The transcript is spliced from 2 exons. The record is from RefSeq and is a predicted model, not a curated record. Lineage: Eukaryota; Viridiplantae; Streptophyta; Magnoliopsida; Poales; Poaceae.